UACGUAGGUGGCAAGCGUUGUCCGGAAUUAUUGGGCGUAAAGCGCGCGCAGGCGGUCCUUUAAGUCUGGUGUGAAAGCCCACGGCUCAACCGUGGAGGGUCAUUGGAAACUGGGGGACUUGAGUGCAGAAGAGGAAAGCGGAAUUCCACGUGUAGCGGUGAAAUGCGUAGAGAUGUGGAGGAACACCAGUGGCGAAGGCGGCUUUCUGGUCUGUAACUGACGCUGAGGAGCGAAAGCGUGGGGAGCGAACAGG
This 253-nucleotide ribosomal RNA is filed under the name uncultured bacterium. Its description in RNAcentral is "partial 16S ribosomal RNA". It matches the Rfam family "Bacterial small subunit ribosomal RNA", at positions 524 to 776 of the family's 1533-position model. The record is from RNAcentral.